CUGACGAACAGGUACACCCGUUGUGAGACGGGGUCGCAAAGCUUCGGGUCUUGAUUUUUUAUUAAGAUAGCCGGGUUGCCGAA
Molecule: non-coding RNA, 83 nt
Organism: Shewanella sp. W3-18-1
Lineage: Bacteria; Pseudomonadati; Pseudomonadota; Gammaproteobacteria; Alteromonadales; Shewanellaceae
Source: Rfam